AACAAGGCUGGGAAUUCGUUUUUCUGCAUAUAGGGGAAAUGAUACUUCUACCCGGUAUGCUCACUGGCUCUUGUAGUGUUAUGGAGAUGUUGAGGUUUAUCCAUAAUUGUACAAGUAUUGGAAUAUUGUGUUUUGAAAUGAGAAUUAUUGAGAUAAAGAAGAUAGCAAGAAAUAUUCGUAUGGCAAUAGGUCAAAUAGAGAAGAUAAUGAGAUGCUUUUAUUCUUUAAUCACGAGGGGUUGACUUGUGUCUUCAGAUGGACACAAAGAUUAUAAUGAGUCUCUGUUAUGAAUCAAAAGAAGCUGGUUUUGCCACUCAUAUAUAUCAAGAGCCAAGAUAUCAAGGUCCCACUAAAUUCCCUUUUUCUAUUCUGUAACAAGAGUAUUUAUUUUUGCCUAUAAAUAGGCUGCUCUAAAUCACUCAAUUUGUCAAUCAAAACACAUUUAAUUAAAGAUUCUUCAGGGCCCUUAUUGCUGCCUCUCCCUCAAGGGCUUCUCUCCUGCAUGCUUAUAUGUUGGGAAAGAAGCUCUAGCAGGGAGAGCCAAUAACAAGUGUCUUGUUUAACAACUUAUGUUGCUCUUCACAGUUCACAGGACAGUCUUUUUUCACUCUCCCUCAAAGGCUUCUGGCUUAAAAUGCCUUUUGUGCUAAUGCUAGAGGUCUUUCGAGUGAGAGUGAAUAAAUUCUGCCAUGAUAUAUAUAAUUGCAGAAUUAUGACUCAACAAAGAAACUGUUCUUCUUCAGGGCUCACGUGAACCUAAUAGCCUUAUAUAUGUAUUAAGAAAUUUAUUAAAUAUCUAUUAGUUACAGUAAUAUUUGACUGUGAAAUUCACCUCUUUUCUUUUGCCUUCUGAUUCCUAUGCAGUUAAGGUGGAUCAACGCUGUACAAUUGGCGGAAAAGUGCUCUACGAUCACGAUCAAGAGAGAGAGGAAUGAGGAUCUAGUUUUAACCCUGAAUUUUUUUAUCUUAAGGCUUAACUGAGUAAAGCUGGAGCAGAUGUAAUUUUGUCUGCACUAACUGCCUUUGCAAGUGAUUCGCUGACUUUAAAUCCUGAAUCUGCCUUUAGAGUCGGAAGUGGCUGGUCGUAUUCCUUCUUCCUUGGUGUAUGUUGAUCUCUUCUCUCUGGUGGUAGCUAUUCAACAUCUCCACAGAAUUGUAAUGUGUUUCAUAAUGAGGAGGCAUUGCAUAAAGAUUUGGUUUUGGAAGACAAAUUGGCUCCAAUAGAAUCGAACACAUACAGAAAAUUCAAAUAAUUAAAUAACUAGAUUUGGAAUUGAGAUGUAGUUGGCUAAUGAUUUUCUAGAGGAAUAAAAAAAUA
RNAcentral lists this long non-coding RNA (1318 nucleotides) under Solanum tuberosum (potato). RNAcentral describes it as "long non-coding RNA (STUB_LNC002207)". The record is from RNAcentral. Lineage: Eukaryota; Viridiplantae; Streptophyta; Magnoliopsida; Solanales; Solanaceae.